This 316-nucleotide ribosomal RNA is filed under the name uncultured bacterium. RNAcentral's name for it is "bacterial SSU rRNA". It matches the Rfam family "Bacterial small subunit ribosomal RNA", at positions 29 to 363 of the family's 1533-position model. The record is from RNAcentral.
AAUGAACGUUGGCGGCGUGGAUUAGGCAUGCGAGUCGAGCGAGAACCCAGCAAUGGGGGACAGCGGCGAAAGGGACAGUAAUGUGUAGAUUAUCUGCCCUCGGGUCCGGGAUAGCUGCGGGAAACUGCAGGUAAUACCGGGAUAACAUCUCCGGAUCAAAGGUGUGAUUCGCCCGAGGAUGAGUCUGCAUCCUAUUAGCUUGUUGGUGGGGUAAUGGCUACCAAGGCUUUGAUGGGUAGCGGGUGUGAGAGCACGACCCGCGUCAUUGGGACUGAGACACUGCCCAGACACCUACGGGUGGCUGCAGUCGAGGAAU